UACGGAGGAUGCAAGCGUUAUCCGGAAUGAUUGGGAGUAAAGCGUCCGCAGGCGGCUAUGUAAGUCUGCUGUUAAAGAGUGAGGCUCAACCUCAUAAAAGCAGUGGAAACUACAUGGCUAGAGUGCGUUCGGGGCAGAGGGAAUUCCUGGUGUAGCGGUGAAAUGCGUAGAGAUCAGGAAGAACACCGGUGGCGAAAGCGCUCUGCUAGGCCGCAACUGACACUGAGGGACGAAAGCUAGGGGAGCGAAUGGG
Molecule: ribosomal RNA, 253 nt
Filed under: uncultured bacterium
Lineage: Bacteria
Description: partial 16S ribosomal RNA
Rfam family: Bacterial small subunit ribosomal RNA
Source: RNAcentral